ACCGCAUGGAUUUCACAUCUCAAACUCCUUCGAGUCAAACUCAAAGACUUCAGUUUGAUCCGUAAAUUUGAAUAUAUAUGGACUGUCUAACUGAAUCUUCUUCGGUUUGAUUCAAAGAGUUUCUAAUUUGAAAUCAAAGAACGUGUUCAAAACCGAAACUCCUAGAAGGCAAUUAAAGAACAUUUAUAAAAAGGUAUGUCUGUGCAGAAAUUCUUUGUGCAUGUUCAUGGAGUCCGUUCUUUAAUCUGUUCCCUACAUGUGCAUCAGCUUAAUCUUUUGUAAUUUAAUGCAAUCACCAAUUGCUAGAAAAAGUUAAAACACAUGACAAUGUGUGAUUGACUUAGAAUAACGCCAUUAUGAUUCUAAGCAUGGAUAAGUUUCUUUCCUUCACAGCCAAGGCAUAUAAAGUGCAUGACGUUAUAGCUAAUUUACCUGAAUUGAUCUGUAUAAGGAAGGUUGGAGUUGAUAGAAUCGGGAGGCAAAUAAACAAACAUGGAGAGCCAUGGCCGCUCUGGCUCUUUAAGCUUCAAAUGCCUUUUCGCAAUGGAAACCACCACGACCUGUG
This 565-nucleotide long non-coding RNA is filed under the name Malus domestica (apple). RNAcentral describes it as "long non-coding RNA (MDOM_LNC006317)". Lineage: Eukaryota; Viridiplantae; Streptophyta; Magnoliopsida; Rosales; Rosaceae. The record is from RNAcentral.